This 195-nucleotide unclassified non-coding RNA is filed under the name uncultured Cortinarius. RNAcentral's name for it is "sequence contains ITS2". The record is from RNAcentral. Lineage: Eukaryota; Fungi; Basidiomycota; Agaricomycetes; Agaricales; Cortinariaceae.
AUAUAUCAACCUCUACAACUUUUGUUUGUUGAGUUGUUGGAUGUGGGGGGCUCUUGCUGGCUUCUCUUCUGAGGUCAGCUCCCCUGAAAUACAUUAGCGGAACGAUCCCCGUUCAUUGGUGUGAUAACUAUCUACGCUAUUGAAUUGAAGUAGUUUGGCUUAUAACAGUCCAUUGACUUGGACAAAUUUUCAUUA